RNAcentral lists this ribosomal RNA (253 nucleotides) under uncultured bacterium. Its description in RNAcentral is "partial 16S ribosomal RNA". It matches the Rfam family "Archaeal small subunit ribosomal RNA", at positions 474 to 727 of the family's 1478-position model. The record is from RNAcentral.
UACCAGCACCCCGAGUGGUCGGGACGAUUAUUGGGCCUAAAGCAUCCGUAGCCGGUCCUACAAGUCUUCCGUUAAAUCCACCUGCUUAACAGAUGGGCUGCGGAAGAUACUAUAGGGCUAGGAGGCGGGAGAGGCAAGCGGUACUCAGUGGGUAGGGGUAAAAUCCUCUGAUCCAUUGAAGACCACCAGUAGCGAAGGCGGCUUGCCAGAACGCGCUCGACGGUGAGGGAUGAAAGCUGGGGGAGCAAACCGG